Molecule: transfer RNA, 73 nt
Filed under: Bigelowiella natans CCMP2755
Lineage: Eukaryota; Cercozoa; Chlorarachniophyceae
Description: tRNA-Arg for anticodon UCG
Rfam family: tRNA
About the family: Transfer RNA (tRNA) molecules are approximately 80 nucleotides in length. Their secondary structure includes four short double-helical elements and three loops (D, anti-codon, and T loops). Further hydrogen bonds mediate the characteristic L-shaped molecular structure. tRNAs have two regions of fundamental functional importance: the anti-codon, which is responsible for specific mRNA codon recognition, and the 3' end, to which the tRNAs corresponding amino acid is attached (by aminoacyl-tRNA synthetases). tRNAs cope with the degeneracy of the genetic code in two manners: having more than one tRNA (with a specific anti-codon) for a particular amino acid; and 'wobble' base-pairing, i.e. permitting non-standard base-pairing at the 3rd anti-codon position.
Source: RNAcentral
GCGGCUGUGGCCUAAUGGAUAAGGCGCCUCCCUCCUAAGGAGGCGGUUGCGGGUUCGAGUCCCGUCAGCUGUU